RNAcentral lists this ribosomal RNA (424 nucleotides) under uncultured prokaryote. Its description in RNAcentral is "bacterial SSU rRNA". It matches the Rfam family "Bacterial small subunit ribosomal RNA", at positions 355 to 796 of the family's 1533-position model. The record is from RNAcentral.
UGGGGAAUCUUGGACAAUGGGGGCAACCCUGAUCCAGCCAUGCCGCGUGGGUGAAGAAGGCCUUAGGGUUGUAAAGCCCUUUCAGUCGUGACGAUGAUGACGGUAGCGACAGAAGAAGCCCCGGCUAACUCCGUGCCAGCAGCCGCGGUAAUACGGAGGGGGCAAGCGUUGUUCGGAUUUACUGGGCGUAAAGGGCGCGUAGGCGGACGGUCAAGUCAGUGGUGAAUGGCCCGGGCUCAACCUGGGACGUGCCUUUGAAACUGAUUGUCUUGAGUGCGGAAGAGGGUGACGGAAUUCCCAGUGUAGAGGUGAAAUGCGUAGAGAUUGGAAAGAACACCAGUGGCGAAGGCGCUCUACUGGACCUGUACUGACACUAAGGGACGAAAGCUAGGGGAGCGAAAGGGAUUAGAUACCCCCGUAGUCC